GAGUUUGAUCAUGGCUCAGGACGAACGCUGGCGGCGUGCUUAACACAUGCAAGUCGAACGGUGAUGGCCAGCUUGCUGGUCUGAUCAGUGGCGAACGGGUGAGUAACACGUGAGCAACCUACCCCAGACUCUGGAAUAACCAUGGGAAACGAUGGCUAAUACCGGAUACGAGACGCACACGCAUGUGUGGUGUCUGGAAAGAUUUAUCGGUCUGGGAUGGGCUCGCGGCCUAUCAGCUUGUUGGUGGGGUAGUGGCCUACCAAGGCGACGACGGGUAGCCGGCCUGAGAGGGCGACCGGCCACACUGGGACUGAGAUACGGCCCAGACUCCUACGGGAGGCAGCAGUGGGGAAUAUUGCACAAUGGGCGCAAGCCUGAUGCAGCGACGCCGCGUGAGGGAUGACGGCCUUCGGGUUGUAAACCUCUUUCAGCAGGGAAGAAGCGAAAGUGACGGUACCUGCAGAAGAAGCCCGGCUAACUACGUGCCAGCAGCCGCGGUAAUACGUAGGGCGCAAGCGUUGUCCGGAAUUAUUGGGCGUAAAGAGUUCGUAGGCGGUUUGUCGCGUCUGCUGUGAAAACCUAAGGCUCAACCUUGGGCUUGCAGUGGGUACGGGCAGACUAGAGUGCGGUAGGGGUGACUGGAAUUCCUGGUGUAGCGGUGGAAUGCGCAGAUAUCAGGAGGAACACCGAUGGCGAAGGCAGGUCACUGGGCCGCAACUGACGCUGAGGAGCGAAAGCAUGGGGAGCGAACAGGAUUAGAUACCCUGGUAGUCCAUGCCGUAAACGUUGGGCACUAGGUGUGGGGCUCAUUCCACGAGUUCCGUGCCGCAGCAAACGCAUUAAGUGCCCCGCCUGGGGAGUACGGCCGCAAGGCUAAAACUCAAAGAAAUUGACGGGGGCCCGCACAAGCGGCGGAGCAUGCGGAUUAAUUCGAUGCAACGCGAAGAACCUUACCAAGGCUUGACAUACACCGGAAACUUCCAGAGAUGGUUGCCCCG
This 998-nucleotide ribosomal RNA is filed under the name agricultural soil bacterium SI-13. RNAcentral's name for it is "bacterial SSU rRNA". It matches the Rfam family "Bacterial small subunit ribosomal RNA", at positions 9 to 1017 of the family's 1533-position model. The record is from RNAcentral.